Molecule: long non-coding RNA, 409 nt
Filed under: Cervus hanglu yarkandensis (Yarkand deer)
Lineage: Eukaryota; Metazoa; Chordata; Mammalia; Artiodactyla; Cervidae
Description: lncRNA (ENSCHYG00000016147.1)
Source: RNAcentral
AUUUCCUAAAAAGCUGAGUGCAAAGAGUUCUGAGGCAAACAGGCAUAGCAAGCAACUGUCAAAAAUAGCACCGUGUUGAAUAUUGACAGCUUUUGUCCAUCUGCUUUCUCAAAAACCCAGCCUCUUUCUUGCAUUGUAAGAAUGUUGAAGUGAAGAAGAAGCCAAGUUCUAGCACAGGGCCUAGCCUGGGACUACAACUCCCAGGAUGCACCAGGAGCGGACACUGACCAAUCAGGAAGCCCAGUCUCACUUCCUCGGCCCAGCUCACGCUCUCCCCGCUUAACAGCGAGAAAUUGGUGAAGACCUGUCCAGGCUGCCUCAAGUUGCAUCUUCAGCCUGGCCCCAGUGCAGUUCGCAAGGUCUCUCAGCCCGUGGCUCCCAAGAGCCCGCUUUCCUCACAGGCAUGGUC